This 430-nucleotide RNase P RNA is filed under the name Sphingomonas sp. RNAcentral describes it as "RNase P RNA component class A". It matches the Rfam family "Bacterial RNase P class A". From Rfam's summary of the family: Ribonuclease P (RNase P) is a ubiquitous endoribonuclease, found in archaea, bacteria and eukarya as well as chloroplasts and mitochondria. Its best characterised activity is the generation of mature 5'-ends of tRNAs by cleaving the 5'-leader elements of precursor-tRNAs. The record is from RNAcentral. Lineage: Bacteria; Pseudomonadati; Pseudomonadota; Alphaproteobacteria; Sphingomonadales; Sphingomonadaceae.
CCAGGCGGCCGGGCGAUCGCGGCGGUUCUUCGUGAACCGGCGAGGAAAGUCCGGGCUCCACGAAACGACGGUGCCGGAUAACGUCCGGCGGCCCCGGCAACGGGGUCAGGGACAGUGCAACAGAGAGCAGGUCACGUUUGUCUUCGGACUUUGGGCUUUGGCCGCGUGAACAGUGAAAGGGUGCGGUAAGAGCGCACCGCGCCCCCGGCAACGGUGGGCGGCGAGGUAAACCCCACCGGGAGCAAGACCGAAUAGGGGCGGCGCGCGGGACUUGUCCCGCUAGGCAUGUUUCGGCCGAGACCGCCCGGGUUGGUUGCUUGAGGCCAUGCGAGAGCAUGGUCCUAGAGGAAUGGUCGCCCAUCCGCCCGCGCGUCCCCUUUGGGGAUACGGCGGCGGUGGACAGAACCCGGCUUACAGGCCGCCUGGCGCA